RNAcentral lists this ribosomal RNA (2902 nucleotides) under Escherichia coli. Its description in RNAcentral is "bacterial LSU rRNA". It matches the Rfam family "Bacterial large subunit ribosomal RNA". Lineage: Bacteria; Pseudomonadati; Pseudomonadota; Gammaproteobacteria; Enterobacterales; Enterobacteriaceae. The record is from RNAcentral. RNAcentral also lists the same sequence under 12 other names.
UUAAGCGACUAAGCGUACACGGUGGAUGCCCUGGCAGUCAGAGGCGAUGAAGGACGUGCUAAUCUGCGAUAAGCGUCGGUGAGGUGAUAUGAACCGUUAUAACCGGCGAUUUCCGAAUGGGGAAACCCAGUGUGUUUCGACACACUAUCAUUAACUGAAUCCAUAGGUUAAUGAGGCGAACCGGGGGAACUGAAACAUCUAAGUACCCCGAGGAAAAGAAAUCAACCGAGAUUCCCCCAGUAGCGGCGAGCGAACGGGGAGGAGCCCAGAGCCUGAAUCAGUGUGUGUGUUAGUGGAAGCGUCUGGAAAGGCGCGCGAUACAGGGUGACAGCCCCGUACACAAAAAUGCACAUACUGUGAGCUCGAUGAGUAGGGCGGGACACGUGGUAUCCUGUCUGAAUAUGGGGGGACCAUCCUCCAAGGCUAAAUACUCCUGACUGACCGAUAGUGAACCAGUACCGUGAGGGAAAGGCGAAAAGAACCCCGGCGAGGGGAGUGAAAAAGAACCUGAAACCGUGUACGUACAAGCAGUGGGAGCCUCUUAAUGGGGUGACUGCGUACCUUUUGUAUAAUGGGUCAGCGACUUAUAUUCUGUAGCAAGGUUAACCGAAUAGGGGAGCCGAAGGGAAACCGAGUCUUAACUGGGCGUUAAGUUGCAGGGUAUAGACCCGAAACCCGGUGAUCUAGCCAUGGGCAGGUUGAAGGUUGGGUAACACUAACUGGAGGACCGAACCGACUAAUGUUGAAAAAUUAGCGGAUGACUUGUGGCUGGGGGUGAAAGGCCAAUCAAACCGGGAGAUAGCUGGUUCUCCCCGAAAGCUAUUUAGGUAGCGCCUCGUGAAUUCAUCUCCGGGGGUAGAGCACUGUUUCGGCAAGGGGGUCAUCCCGACUUACCAACCCGAUGCAAACUGCGAAUACCGGAGAAUGUUAUCACGGGAGACACACGGCGGGUGCUAACGUCCGUCGUGAAGAGGGAAACAACCCAGACCGCCAGCUAAGGUCCCAAAGUCAUGGUUAAGUGGGAAACGAUGUGGGAAGGCCCAGACAGCCAGGAUGUUGGCUUAGAAGCAGCCAUCAUUUAAAGAAAGCGUAAUAGCUCACUGGUCGAGUCGGCCUGCGCGGAAGAUGUAACGGGGCUAAACCAUGCACCGAAGCUGCGGCAGCGACACUAUGUGUUGUUGGGUAGGGGAGCGUUCUGUAAGCCUGUGAAGGUGUACUGUGAGGUAUGCUGGAGGUAUCAGAAGUGCGAAUGCUGACAUAAGUAACGAUAAAGCGGGUGAAAAGCCCGCUCGCCGGAAGACCAAGGGUUCCUGUCCAACGUUAAUCGGGGCAGGGUGAGUCGACCCCUAAGGCGAGGCCGAAAGGCGUAGUCGAUGGGAAACAGGUUAAUAUUCCUGUACUUGGUGUUACUGCGAAGGGGGGACGGAGAAGGCUAUGUUGGCCGGGCGACGGUUGUCCCGGUUUAAGCGUGUAGGCUGGUUUUCCAGGCAAAUCCGGAAAAUCAAGGCUGAGGCGUGAUGACGAGGCACUACGGUGCUGAAGCGACAAAUGCCCUGCUUCCAGGAAAAGCCUCUAAGCAUCAGGUAACAUCAAAUCGUACCCCAAACCGACACAGGUGGUCAGGUAGAGAAUACCAAGGCGCUUGAGAGAACUCGGGUGAAGGAACUAGGCAAAAUGGUGCCGUAACUUCGGGAGAAGGCACGCUGAUAUGUAGGUGAAGCGACUUGCUCGUGGAGCUGAAAUCAGUCGAAGAUACCAGCUGGCUGCAACUGUUUAUUAAAAACACAGCACUGUGCAAACACGAAAGUGGACGUAUACGGUGUGACGCCUGCCCGGUGCCGGAAGGUUAAUUGAUGGGGUUAGCGGUAACGCGAAGCUCUUGAUCGAAGCCCCGGUAAACGGCGGCCGUAACUAUAACGGUCCUAAGGUAGCGAAAUUCCUUGUCGGGUAAGUUCCGACCUGCACGAAUGGCGUAAUGAUGGCCAGGCUGUCUCCACCCGAGACUCAGUGAAAUUGAACUCGCUGUGAAGAUGCAGUGUACCCGCGGCAAGACGGAAAGACCCCGUGAACCUUUACUAUAGCUUGACACUGAACAUUGAGCCUUGAUGUGUAGGAUAGGUGGGAGGCUUUGAAGUGUGGACGCCAGUCUGCAUGGAGCCGACCUUGAAAUACCACCCUUUAAUGUUUGAUGUUCUAACGUGGGCCCCUUACCGGGGUUGCGGACAGUGUCUGGUGGGUAGUUUGACUGGGGCGGUCUCCUCCUAAAGAGUAACGGAGGAGCACGAAGGUUGGCUAAUCCUGGUCGGACAUCAGGAGGUUAGUGCAAUGGCAUAAGCCAGCUUGACUGCGAGCGUGACGGCGCGAGCAGGUGCGAAAGCAGGUCAUAGUGAUCCGGUGGUUCUGAAUGGAAGGGCCAUCGCUCAACGGAUAAAAGGUACUCCGGGGAUAACAGGCUGAUACCGCCCAAGAGUUCAUAUCGACGGCGGUGUUUGGCACCUCGAUGUCGGCUCAUCACAUCCUGGGGCUGAAGUAGGUCCCAAGGGUAUGGCUGUUCGCCAUUUAAAGUGGUACGCGAGCUGGGUUUAGAACGUCGUGAGACAGUUCGGUCCCUAUCUGCCGUGGGCGCUGGAGAACUGAGGGGGGCUGCUCCUAGUACGAGAGGACCGGAGUGGACGCAUCACUGGUGUUCGGGUUGUCAUGCCAAUGGCACUGCCCGGUAGCUAAAUGCGGAAGAGAUAAGUGCUGAAAGCAUCUAAGCACGAAACUUGCCCCGAGAUGAGUUCUCCCUGACUCCUUGAGAGUCCUGAAGGAACGUUGAAGACGACGACGUUGAUAGGCCGGGUGUGUAAGCGCAGCGAUGCGUUGAGCUAACCGGUACUAAUGAACCGUGAGGCUUAACCUU